RNAcentral lists this ribosomal RNA (442 nucleotides) under uncultured bacterium. RNAcentral's name for it is "partial 16S ribosomal RNA". It matches the Rfam family "Bacterial small subunit ribosomal RNA", at positions 338 to 795 of the family's 1533-position model. The record is from RNAcentral.
ACUACGGGAGGCAGCAGUAGGGAAUCUUUCACAACGGGCGAAAGCCUGAUGGAGCAACGCCGCGUGCAGGAUGAAGGCCUUCGGGUUGUAAACUGCUUUUAUAAGCGAGAAAUAUGAUGGUAACUUAUGAAUAAGGAUCGGCUAACUACGUGCCAGCAGCCGCGGUCAUACGUAGGAUCCGAGCAUUAUCCGGAGUGACUGGGUGUAAAGAGGUGCGUAGGUGGCAUAAUAAGUAGCUAGUGAAAUCUGGUGGCUCAACCAUUCAGACUAUUAGCUAAACUGUUAAGCUCGAGACCGUUAGGGGUAACUGGAAUUGCUAGUGUAGGAGUGAAAUCCGUAGAUAUUAGAAGGAACACCAAUAGCGUAGGCAGGUUACUGGGACGGUUCUGACACUAAGGCACGAAAGCGUAGGGAGCAAACGGGAUUAGAUACCCGGGUAGUC